GGUAAAAUGGCUGAAUAUUUAGGCAAUAAACUGUAAAUUUAUUUAUGAAAAUUAAUUUCUUUUACUA
Molecule: transfer RNA, 67 nt
Filed under: Nebrioporus fenestratus
Lineage: Eukaryota; Metazoa; Arthropoda; Insecta; Coleoptera; Dytiscidae
Description: tRNA-Tyr
Rfam family: tRNA
About the family: Transfer RNA (tRNA) molecules are approximately 80 nucleotides in length. Their secondary structure includes four short double-helical elements and three loops (D, anti-codon, and T loops).
Source: RNAcentral